RNAcentral lists this ribosomal RNA (250 nucleotides) under uncultured bacterium. RNAcentral's name for it is "partial 16S ribosomal RNA". It matches the Rfam family "Bacterial small subunit ribosomal RNA", at positions 524 to 773 of the family's 1533-position model. The record is from RNAcentral.
UACGUAGGUGACUAGCGUUGUCCGGAUUUACUGGGCGUAAAGAGCGCGCAGGCGGUCGUUCAAGUCGAGUGUGAAAGCCCCCGGCUCAACUGGGGAGGGUCAUUCGAUACUGUCCAACUUGAAGGCAGGAGAGGGCAGCAGAAUUCCCGGUGUAGUGGUGAAAUGCGUAGAUAUCGGGAGGAAUACCAGUGGCGAAGGCGGCUGCCUGGCCUGUUCUUGACGCUGAGGCGCGAAAGCUGGGGGAGCAAAC